This 378-nucleotide ribosomal RNA is filed under the name Petasospora sp. RNAcentral describes it as "Cyberlindnera sp. partial small subunit ribosomal RNA". It matches the Rfam family "Eukaryotic small subunit ribosomal RNA", at positions 582 to 975 of the family's 1831-position model. The record is from RNAcentral. Lineage: Eukaryota; Fungi; Ascomycota; Saccharomycetes; Phaffomycetales; Wickerhamomycetaceae.
AUUCCAGCUCCAAUAGCGUAUAUUAAAGUUGUUGCAGUUAAAAAGCUCGUAGUUGAACUUUGGGCCUGGCAGGCCGGUCCGCUUUUUGGCGAGUACUGACCCUGCCGGGCCUUUCCUUCUGGCUAACCUCCCCUCUGGAGAGGCGAACCAGGACUUUUACUUUGAAAAAAUUAGAGUGUUCAAAGCAGGCCUUUGCUCGAAUAUAUUAGCAUGGAAUAAUAGAAUAGGACGUUUGGUUCUAUUUUGUUGGUUUCUAGGACCAUCGUAAUGAUUAAUAGGGACGGUCGGGGGCAUCAGUAUUCAGUUGUCAGAGGUGAAAUUCUUGGAUUUACUGAAGACUAACUACUGCGAAAGCAUUUGCCAAGGACGUUUUCAUCA